Molecule: ribosomal RNA, 476 nt
Filed under: uncultured Alphaproteobacteria bacterium
Lineage: Bacteria; Pseudomonadati; Pseudomonadota; Alphaproteobacteria
Description: bacterial SSU rRNA
Rfam family: Bacterial small subunit ribosomal RNA
Source: RNAcentral
GAGUUUGAUCUUGGCUCAGAACGAACGCUGGCGGCAGGCCUAACACAUGCAAGUCGAACGCCCAGCAAUGGAGUGGCGCACGGGUGCGUAACGCGUGGGAAUAUGCCCUUGACUACGGGACAACGUUUGAAACGAACGCUAAAUACCGUAUAAAUGACUCCGGUCCAAAGAUUUAUCGGUCGAAGGAUUUAGCCCCGCGUCAGAUUAGCUAGUUGGUGAGGUAACGGCUCACCAAGGCGACGAUCUGUAGCUGGUCUGAGAGGAUGAUCAGCCACACUGGAACUGAGACACGGUCCAGACUCCUACGGGAGGCAGCAGUGAGGAAUAUUGGACAAUGGGCGCAAGCCUGAUCCAGCCAUGCCGCGUGAGUGACGAAGGCCUUCGGGUUGUAAAGCUCUUUUAGUAUGUGAAGAUAAUGACGGUAGGCAUCAGAAAAAAGCCCCGGCUAAAUUCGUGCCAGCAGCAGCCGCCGUAAU